UGUUUAUACUGCUAUGUAGUUUUGAAUCAAGGAGUUUUGUUUGUGUUUGAAUGAGUAGAAUAUAUAGAACUCCAAAGCUGCCCAUGUUUAUCUUUGAAGGACCAACCGGCGAAACAUACAUAAAUUUUAUUUGCUGUAGUUUUACACAAAAUUAUUUAUAGUGUUGUUGAUGCAUUAUAUUAAGAAUAGUCAUUGUAAUUUGUUACAACGUCUUUGUAGUGAACCCAUAUUACUAAUGUGUCCAGUCUCUUUUCGAAAUUUUCGUCAGAGUACUUAGGCCGUCUCAAUUAAAUGAUUUUUUUAUUAUUGCGUGAUGAAGGUAAAGACUUGAUGAGACCAUUUUCUUUCAGGAACGAAGUGUUGGUUGUUUCAUCUUGUAUAGUAAUGUGUAUUUGAAUUUGCUUACACUUGUGUGACAUCUGAAUAAAGCGAUGGACAAGAGUGAGUCUUUUAGUGUCAUAGUGAGUAGCCGAUAAAUAAAAUGAAAACUCUUUUUUCUAAGUUUUGAUGCACCAUUCGAUAUCCAUUGUCUACAAUCUGACAUGUACUGUGAGAACCUAACAUAACAUGAUACCAUACAUCAUUUGGAACAACUACCAUUCCGUUCUACAGAAUUAAACAUUUUGAAGCCUCGUCAAGAUUUUCUCCAUUUCCAGUGUUGUCAGUGUGGAAAUUGGUAUCAGCAUAAAGGUUCUCUCAGUCGACAUCUUAGAUUAGAAUGUGGAAAAGAACCACUAUUCAGUUGUUCGUUAUGUUCGUACAAAUCAAAACAGAAACAUGAUGUAAAGAGACAUUUUCUUAAAAAACAUAUGAAACAUUAAAAUUGUGCUAUCCUCUGCCAUUUCUUGUAUUGCUGCAAUAUUUUGAUACAGGUGUUCUGGAAAAGUGAUUGUAAUUGGAAAGAAUAUGUAAGAUCUUUUUGCUUAUGCAGUUGUAUCUUAAAAAACGACGACUUCUUAAGAAAUUAUGGUUAUGAUGUGCACUUUCAUAACUUGUAACAUAAUCAUUAAAUGAAGUCGGCAUAAUUUUUUCACAUACACAGUUGAACAAUUUGGUGGCAGAGGGGAUUCAUAAUGGAGGAUGAACUACCAGAUGUCAGAUAAAUUUUGUGUCCUCCUUUCACUCUUGUGCUUUUCAGAAUCUGAUUUUUUGUUAUUUUUUGCUUCACCAAAUAAAAAUAGAGUUACUGUACAUUAACUGUAUACCCUUGCAUACAGGACCUCUUUGAAAAUGUUUUUCCACACAAGAAACUUAUCAUUUGCCCCCCCCCCCCCCCUACUUGUUUCUGCCUCAUACACUUUCAGCUAAGCCAGUUUUCACUACUAAUUGUGAUUCAAGCUGUACACAAAUCUUGCUCUUGGUCGAUGCCCCAAACGGCCACUAAUAAUUGUAAUACAAACUGUAUAGAAAUCUUUCAGUUGCAAUUCCUCUAGCACCCAUCUCCGCUUGGCGCCCCCAAGCAUCCCAAACAACGGUUGGUGUCAAUUGGGUCUUAAACCGGCUGUGCCUCCAUAGAUUGAUUAUUUUAAAAAAUUAGUACUUUAUUUUCCUGAAUGAGGUCACUUAAUUCUACCUUGUGAUCAUAAUUCUGACAUUGUUGAAGUGACAAACAGUUCACAGCAGAUUUUAUAUUCGCAAGAAAUGGUAUUCUGUAGUCAUGAAAUCAUCUAAGUUUUUUACAGUUGUUCUAGUGAUGUGAACAUGUUCAAGAACUAUAAAGACUAUUUCACACCUAUGAAGACUAAUCUAAAUGCUAUUAAAAUUUCUCGGUAUAAAGUUGAGCAGUGCACUUGUGAUGGGAAAUACAUUUUUAAGGUAAGAAAUGAUCAACAAACAACUGUUUUAUCUGUGCUUGUACCCUUGAAAGAAAUAUAUACUGCAAGAGCAAGAAAAAUAGUGCAUCUCGGAUUUCGGGAGGAAUUACUGUAUACUGUACUAUGCUUUUACUUGUCAAGGAAGCUAAAUACGAAGAUAUGAUGAAGUAUAUUGCGAUAGGAGACACAGAUUUCUAUGAAAAACAACAUCUCAAAAAAUGAAGUUAGUUCAGGAAAAUCAGAGUAAAACAGUAAGUUAAAGCAAUGAGAUGAAACCACUUAUAACUUUAAUUUAUGGUAAUUUGUAUCUUUAUAACAUUUGACUGUUAUAUAUCUUACAGAGUAUUUGAUUAAAAUAUAUUUUGAAAUGAUUGACUAUUUAUUUAAUAAAAUGAGAGCUAUGUGGCAACAUGAGUUUGUAUUUGUUCAUGCUAUACAAAGGGCUACUAUUAACAUCAUGUGGCUUUAAUACAAAAAAUAAUGGACAUUUUAUAUGGUCUUUGUUAGUAUGACAUUCAAGACAUGUCAACUACUCCCUACUCUACAGUCUAGUCAUCUGUGGUAAACCUAUUCACUCCAGCACCAAAAUUGUGAACGUCUAUAUCUCUCACCUUCCUUCUUGCGCAAAUACCAUACAGAUCUUAACCACAAAUAAAUCUCCUGGGCAGUCUCUUCCUUCGACCCUCUAACCCUUGUAGGGCCUACCAUGUCACCCAGCACAACCCAGGCCUUGAAUACCUCAUAUACUGCACACGGGAUAUAACUUUUUUCAAGUUAAACUCUCAGAUGUGAUCUUCUCUCCUUAGUAUCCUUUCCACAUCCCCCACUAUCCUCUUUCUUCAUUUUCCGAUCCUUCACAAUAAACUUUGUUUAUCUCAUUCCCACACCAUUAUCCCUACUCCACAGUUCCUAUCCCAGAAUCAUUACAACUGGGAAAACUGCCUCUUACUCCAACCCCAAAGCUGAUAAAUACUGGAAUAUUUACACAUGUGAAACCAUCCAUGUUGUUCACCAGUUGAAUGUGUUCACUGCAUGGUUAUUUACAGAGCAACAAACUGUGUUCACUGCAUGGCUAUUUACAGAGCAACAACUUCACUGAAUUGGACCAAUGCAUCAAUGAAUGCAGAAGAAGGGUUUAUCUUGGGACCACCAAGAAUCAGUUUGACAUGUCAGAGUUAAUGUUCACUUGAUUGUUGAAGAUAAAGCAUUUCAUACCCAGAGCAAAAUUUGUUUGUUGAGGAAGAUUAAGCAAUCUUUAAUAUGUGCUUUUCCAUUAAAAAUGCAUUUCGUACGAUGUUGAGUGUGAUAAUUGUGACAGAAUAUCAUAUUAUCAGAAGAUGAUAACAGUAUGAGGAUAGGUGAGAAGUGGUUACAGUAAGCUCUAGAUUGUACAGUAAUUGUGUGUGUCAGCAAGGUUAGGAAACAUAUUGCAACUAAAAAUUAUAUAGUAUAAAAAGCCAGCUUUUGAGUACAUAUCUGUAGUAACUCUUUAAAAGAGAACUGGAUGGAGAAGAUGCUGUUAUAAUUUAGUCAUGUAACGAACAUGCCCCUUUACACAAUGUAUCUCCUGUUCCAGAGAGAAUUUUACAGAACAGAUUUGUUUGUCACACUUAUUUGAGGUAAUUGAGAUAGCUAAUUUUCAAUGUUGAUGCUUAAAAGGUGACAAGCUGUGAAGUAUAAAAAUUUUCAUGACUGCUGGCAAAAUAUUUAUAGCAUAGAGAACUGAAUUAUUUCUUAAUUGUGCCAGAAAAUCUACUUACUUUGUAUAUGUAUAUUUCAGACCUCCUGCUGUCUCAAAUGUGUUUUCGUGAUCCAUGGACACAAACUGCAGGAUCUAAGUCUCCAUAUACUCGCAGAUUUGAAUGCACAAAGUGUGGAAAAUCUUACAUGCAGAAGAAAACUCUCAAUAGACAUGUGAAAUUAGAGUGUGAUAAAAAGCCGCAGUUUAGCUGUCCGUAUUGCCCACAUCGGUCUAAACAAAAAAGUAAUCUCCAGCAGCACAUAAUUGCUAAGCAUACUGGCCUUUGACUGUAGGCCAAUGUUCAAAACAGCUUAUACACAAAAUUAGCCUUAGAACACUCACUAAAUUGUAAGUUGUGAUGUGACAUCAUUUUCAAAUUUUAUUGCGUACUGUUUCUAGUUUUGUUUACGACAUUCAGUUUCUUUUUUCUGUCACAGUUACAAAAAUACUGUUAAUAUCAAGCUCCUGUGAAAGGCAGAUCUGAUUUUAUUUGUAUGUUAUUUAGUGUGAUUCAUGAUAAGGAUAAACCUUAAGUGUUCAUCAGAAAUAGACUCUAAAAUAAUGUUUGAUUAUGUUAACUGAUAUUCCAUUACUUCUUGGUAGAACGACUUCAUAAUUAGA
Molecule: RNA transcript, 4176 nt
Organism: Schistocerca nitens (vagrant locust)
Lineage: Eukaryota; Metazoa; Arthropoda; Insecta; Orthoptera; Acrididae
Gene name: zinc finger Y-chromosomal protein 2-like
Exons: 3
Source: RefSeq, a predicted model, not a curated record